UAGAAGAAUCUGUUAAGCUCAGGAGGGAUAGCGCCAUGGAUGAUCUUUUUGAUAGUAAUUACUUGAUCCUCAUUAGCGCUAUCCAUCCUGAGUUUCAUCGGUUCUUCUU
RNAcentral lists this microRNA precursor (109 nucleotides) under Corchorus olitorius. Its description in RNAcentral is "MIR390 microRNA precursor family". It matches the Rfam family "MIR390 microRNA precursor family". The record is from Rfam by way of RNAcentral. Lineage: Eukaryota; Viridiplantae; Streptophyta; Magnoliopsida; Malvales; Malvaceae.